AGCUUGCUCCCUGAUGUUAGCGGCGGACGGGUGAGUAACACGUGGGUAACCUGCCUGUAAGACUGGGAUAACUCCGGGAAACCGGGGCUAAUACCGGAUGGUUGUUUGAACCGCAUGGUUCAGACAUAAAAGGUGGCUUCGGCUACCACUUACAGAUGGACCCGCGGCGCAUUAGCUAGUUGGUGAGGUAACGGCUCACCAAGGCGACGAUGCGUAGCCGACCUGAGAGGGUGAUCGGCCACACUGGGACUGAGACACGGCCCAGACUCCUACGGGAGGCAGCAGUAGGGAAUCUUCCGCAAUGGACGAAAGUCUGACGGAGCAACGCCGCGUGAGUGAUGAAGGUUUUCGGAUCGUAAAGCUCUGUUGUUAGGGAAGAACAAGUGCCGUUCAAAUAGGGCGGCACCUUGACGGUACCUAACCAGAAAGCCACGGCUAACUACGUGCCAGCAGCCGCGGUAAUACGUAGGUGGCAAGCGUUGUCCGGAAUUAUUGGGCGUAAAGGGCUCGCAGGCGGUUUCUUAAGUCUGAUGUGAAAGCCCCCGGCUCAACCGGGGAGGGUCAUUGGAAACUGGGGAACUUGAGUGCAGAAGAGGAGAGUGGAAUUCCACGUGUAGCGGUGAAAUGCGUAGAGAUGUGGAGGAACACCAGUGGCGAAGGCGACUCUCUGGUCUG
RNAcentral lists this ribosomal RNA (675 nucleotides) under Bacillus amyloliquefaciens. Its description in RNAcentral is "bacterial SSU rRNA". It matches the Rfam family "Bacterial small subunit ribosomal RNA", at positions 77 to 736 of the family's 1533-position model. Lineage: Bacteria; Bacillati; Bacillota; Bacilli; Caryophanales; Bacillaceae. The record is from RNAcentral.